UGGGGAAUAUUGCACAAUGGGGGAAACCCUGAUGCAGCGACGCCGCGUGAGCGAAGAAGGCCUUCGGGUCGUAAAGCUCUUUUAUGAGGGAAGAUAAUGACGGUACCUCAAGAAAAAGCCCCGGCUAACUACGUGCCAGCAGCCGCGGUAAUACGUAGGGGGCUAGCGUUGUCCGGAAUCACUGGGCGUAAAGGGUUCGCAGGCGGUUAGAAAAGUCUGAAGUGAAAGGCAGUGGCUCAACCAUUGUAGGCUUUGGAAACUGUUUAACUUGAGUGCAGAAGGGGAGAGUGGAAUUCCAUGUGUAGCGGUGAAAUGCGUAGAUAUAUGGAGGAACACCGGUGGCGAAAGCGGCUCUCUGGUCUGUAACUGACGCUGAGGCUCGAAAGCGUGGGGAGCGAACAGG
Molecule: ribosomal RNA, 403 nt
Filed under: Verrucomicrobiota bacterium
Lineage: Bacteria; Pseudomonadati; Verrucomicrobiota
Description: Verrucomicrobia bacterium partial 16S ribosomal RNA
Rfam family: Bacterial small subunit ribosomal RNA
Source: RNAcentral